UAGCGCGGCGGCAGGCUUGACACACGCCAGGUUGAACGGAAACGAUGGUAGCUUGCNUACCAGGCUUCGAGCGGCGGACGGGUGAGUAAUACUUAGGAAUCUACCUAGUAGUGGGGGAUAGCACGGGGAAACUCGUAUUAAUACCGCAUACGACCUACGGGAGAAAGGGGGCAGUUUACUGCUCUCGCUAUUAGAUGAGCCUAAGUCGGAUUAGCUAGAUGGUGGGGUAAAGGCCUACCAUGGCGACGAUCUGUAGCUGGUCUGAGAGGAUGAUCAGCCACACCGGGACUGAGACACGGCCCGGACUCCUACGGGAGGCAGCAGUGGGGAAUAUUGGACAAUGGGGGAAACCCUGAUCCAGCCAUGCCGCGUGUGUGAAGAAGGCCUUUUGGUUGUAAAGCACUUUAAGCAGUGAAGAAGACUCUUCGGUUAAUACCCGGAGACGAUGACAUUAGCUGCAGAAUAAGCACCGGCUAACUCUGUGCCAGCAGCCGCGGUAAUACAGAGGGUGCAAGCGUUAAUCGGAAUUACUGGGCGUAAAGCGAGCGUAGGUGGCUUGAUAAGUCAGAUGUGAAAUCCCCGGGCUUAACCUGGGAACUGCAUCUGAAACUGUUAGGCUAGAGUAGGUGACGAGGGAAGUAGAAAUUUCAGGUGUAGCGGUGAAAUGCGUAGAGAUCUGAAAGGAAUACGAU
This 692-nucleotide ribosomal RNA is filed under the name Psychrobacter sp. UST050418-835. RNAcentral describes it as "bacterial SSU rRNA". It matches the Rfam family "Bacterial small subunit ribosomal RNA", at positions 31 to 712 of the family's 1533-position model. Lineage: Bacteria; Pseudomonadati; Pseudomonadota; Gammaproteobacteria; Moraxellales; Moraxellaceae. The record is from RNAcentral.